GAUGAACGCUAGCGGCAGGCUUAAUACAUGCAAGUCGAGGGGCAGCGCAGUGUAGCACUACAUGGGCGGCGACCGGCAAACGGGUGCGGAACACGUACACAACCUUCCUUCGAGUGGGGGAUCGCCCAGGGAAACUUGGAUUAAUACCCCGUACUAUAUAGGGGUGGCAUCCCUUUUAUAUUCAAGUUGAGGCGCUUGAAGAUGGGUGUGCUUAUGAUUAGGUAGUUGGCGGGGUAACGGCCCACCAAGCCUACGAUCAUUAACUGGUGUGAGAGCACGACCAGUCACACGGGAACUGAGACACGGGCCAGACUCCUACGGGAGGCAGCAGUAAGGAAUAUUGGUCAAUGGACGCAAGUCUGAACCAGCCAGGCCGCGUGCAGGAUGAAGGCCCUCUGGGUUGUAAACUGCUUUUAUCUGGGAAGAAAUGUAUUUAUUCUUAAGUAUUUGACGGUACCAGAGGAAUAAGCACCGGCUAACUCCGUGCCAACCGC
This 494-nucleotide ribosomal RNA is filed under the name uncultured bacterium. Its description in RNAcentral is "bacterial SSU rRNA". It matches the Rfam family "Bacterial small subunit ribosomal RNA", at positions 28 to 515 of the family's 1533-position model. The record is from RNAcentral.